RNAcentral lists this ribosomal RNA (472 nucleotides) under uncultured bacterium. Its description in RNAcentral is "partial 16S ribosomal RNA". It matches the Rfam family "Bacterial small subunit ribosomal RNA", at positions 28 to 523 of the family's 1533-position model. The record is from RNAcentral.
GAUGAACGCUGACAGAAUGCUUAACACAUGCAAGUCUACUUGAUCCUUCGGGUGAUGGUGGCGGACGGGUGAGUAACGCGUAAAGAACUUGCCUUGCAGUCUGGGACAACGUCUGGAAGCGGACGCUAAUACCGGAUAUUAUGAUUGAAUCGCAUGAUUUGAUUAUGAAAGCUAUAUGCGCUGCGAGAGAGCUUUGCGUCCCAUUAGUUAGUUGGUGAGGUAACGGCUCACCAAGACGAUGAUGGGUAGCCGGCCUGAGAGGGUGAACGGCCACAAGGGGACUGAGACACGGCCCUUACUCCUACGGGAGGCAGCAGUGGGGAAUAUUGGACAAUGGACCAAAAGUCUGAUCCAGCAAUUCUGUGUGCACGAUGAAGUUUUUCGGAAUGUAAAGUGCUUUCAGUUGGGAAGAAGAAAGUGACGGUACCAACAGAAGAAGCGACGGCUAAAUACGUGCCAGCCGCCGCAGUAA